GGAAAGUGCUGAGUUUCGGGGGGACAUGGAGAGGGAGCAGGGAGUGGGGAAGGUCAGAGCCAGGCUGAAGCGUGCCAAGCCCCAGGCAUCAGAGUCGCAUCGCUGAGACCCCCUUCUCCCUCCUGGGUCUCUGAAAGGUGAGGACGUGGAGAGAAAAGACCCCAUUCUUGUGGGCCCUUCUUGCCUCCUUCCUCUCCUCCAAGAAGGGCAAGAGGCCUUCUUCCAGCUGCAUAACUUCCCAGAGAGGACACUGAACAGGCGGUGAGCAGAUCUGUGGAGGCCACGCAGGGGAACUGCAGCCGGACCCGGGCCACGUUCCAGCACUGCCCCGGGCCUUCGGUUUCACCACCUGUAAUUGGGAAAAAGCGAUCCUUGCCUCCUGGACCGGGGCAGAGUGAAUCAAGAGGCCCGAUGAGAGGCUUCCGACCCCUGGGCGAAGGCAGGAGGAAGCAGCUGGGGCAGAAAGGGGAUCUGAAUGUCACCGCAGGAACAUACACCCUCCCUGGAGGGAGGACCCCGUACUCAUGGCACUCCCCAGGACCAUUUGGUGGUAGGGAGCCACAGAGGACACAGAGGCCAUGGCUUGGCGGGGCCUCCUUGAGUUCGGUGCCUCCUCUGGGAGUCCUCCACCUACGGGGCCUGGCCUUAGAAGAAGAGCUGGAGGCCAAGGAAGCGUCAUCCUUCUUUCCCAGGCCAGAAAUUCCAGGAAAGCUUAACCUCAUCAUGCCAUGAGGGCUUUGUCUGACCCCAGGACACCCCCACCUGAUGAGCCAGCUGCCCUCCUUCCCCUUUCCCAGGGGCCCUGCCAGCACCUGCUCCAGAUGGCCUCCAACCCCGCUGUCCUACGCAGCCCCAUGACGUCAGAGUUUAUCCCUCCUUUUUUUUUUUUUUGUUUCCCCUUUUAAAAAAUAAAAGAUAGGCUCAGUUCCCUGGGGGGAACAACUGCUCCCCACAUGGCUAUCAACAGGCAGGUGAGGGAGUAGAGGCUGUGGCCUGAACCCUGAGAAAGUGAGCAGGCUUGUGAGGGAGAGGGGCCUUCCCAGCAGAAGACGGUUCAGCAUCCCGACCUCAGCGUGGAGCAUGCACCAGAUGUUUGCAGAAGGAAUGGAUCUGCUGCCAGGCUCUGUGCCUUGGGGACCGGGCCUGCCUUGGCUGGGCUCUUGUAAAACAUUGGUCAUAUGGAGCUUUUCCAAGCCGGGAGCUGCUUCUUGCUGCUCUGGGGGUCCCUGCACUGAGCCCACCUUCUUGGUGUGGACCUAGAGGAGACUGUUGUGUGGUUUGGAAGACCAUGUUUCAGAUUUGUUGGAGGUCACAGUCUUCAAGGAAGGGGGCUUCUCCCUAAGGACAGAGGGGACCCGAGUGUCUUACAAAAGCCCCUUAACUUGGCACCUUCACAGAAGGGAUCAUGGGACGGGCCUGCCAGGAUCCAGGCCCACCACUCAGCUCAAGAAGCCACGUCUCUGGGUUUUCCAAGCCAGAAACUCCCCUGCAGAUUUCUGCCCCGUGAGUGUGUGAUCACCAACUGCUUUCUGAUCCAAAUGUGUUUCUCAAGCAGAACAGGCUUCACGGAGCUAAGAGAAACACAAUGUGAAUAUUCACCCAGUGUUGCAGUGCAAGAUCAACAGAGUUGUCAAACUAACAGGAAAAUGUACAAAUACUUCCACCAAUAUAGCAUGACCUGCCUAGUACUCUGGCAGAUUUCCAGAUCCUUGAGGCAAAAUUUGUGCCAGGAUUUGGACUGUUUUAAGGGUUGUGUGUUUACAAAUUUAUACAGGUAAAAACAUCUCUGUUGGGGGCCGGCCCCGUGGCUGAGUGGUUACUAUCACGCACUCCGCUUCGGUGCCCUGGGGUUUCGCUGGCUCGGAUCCUGGGCGCAGACAUGGCGCUGCUCAUCAGGCCACGCUGAGGUGGCGUUCUACAUGCCACAACCGGAAGGACCCACAACUAAAAAUAUACAACUAUGCACCGAGGGGCUUUGGAGAGAAAAAGGAAAAAU
This 1996-nucleotide long non-coding RNA is filed under the name Equus caballus (horse). Its description in RNAcentral is "lncRNA (ENSECAG00000051509.1)". Lineage: Eukaryota; Metazoa; Chordata; Mammalia; Perissodactyla; Equidae. The record is from RNAcentral.